GAUAAACGCUGGCGGCGUGCAUGAGACAUGCAAGUCGAACGAAGGAUCGGGCUUGCUCGAUCCUUAGUGGCGGACGGCUGGGUAACGCGUAGGUGACCUACCCCGAAGUGGGGAAUAACUGCCCGAAAGGGUGGCUAAUACCGCAUGUGGUCGCACGUUCCUUCGUGCGAGUAAAGCCGCAAGGCGCCUCGGGAGGGGCGUGCGUCCGAUUAGCUCGUUGGUGGGGUAAUGGCUUACCAAGGCGACGAUCGGUAGCUGGUCUGAGAGGACGAUGACCCGGCGUGGGAGUGAGACACGGCCCGGACACCUAGGGGAAGGAGCGGUAGGGAAAUUUGCCCAAGGGGGGAAAACCUAAAGCAGCAACGCGGCGUGAGGGAUGAAGGCCUUCGGGUUGUAAACCUAUUUUGUCAGGGACGAUGAUGACGGUAACUGGCGAAUGAGCCACGGCUAACUACGUG
RNAcentral lists this ribosomal RNA (458 nucleotides) under uncultured bacterium. RNAcentral's name for it is "partial 16S ribosomal RNA". It matches the Rfam family "Bacterial small subunit ribosomal RNA", at positions 28 to 507 of the family's 1533-position model. The record is from RNAcentral.